GACGAACGCUGGCGGCGUGCUUAACACAUGCAAGUCGAACGGUAAGGCCCUUCGGGGUACACGAGUGGCGAACGGGUGAGUAACACGUGGGUGAUCUGCCCUGCACUUCGGGAUAAGCCUGGGAAACUGGGUCUAAUACCGGAUAGGACCACUGCCUGCAUGGGUGGUGGUGGAAAGCUUUUGCGGUGUGGGAUGGGCCCGCGGCCUAUCAGCUUGUUGGUGGGGUGAUGGCCUACCAAGGCGACGACGGGUAGCCGGCCUGAGAGGGUGACCGGUCAACAUGGGACUGAGAUACGGCCCAGAGUCCUACGGGAGGCAGCAGUGGGGAAUAUUGCACAAUGGGCGCAAGCCUGAUGCAGCGACGCCGCGGGAGGGAUGACGGCCUUCGGGUUGUAAACCUCUUUCAGCACCGACGAAGCGCAAGUGACGGUAGGUGCAGAAGAAGGACCGGCCAACUACGUGCCAGCAGCCGCGGUAA
Molecule: ribosomal RNA, 478 nt
Filed under: uncultured bacterium
Lineage: Bacteria
Description: partial 16S ribosomal RNA
Rfam family: Bacterial small subunit ribosomal RNA
Source: RNAcentral